UUGACUGGAUGCAUUGUGUAGAGUUGAAUGGAUCGAGCAGAGGCCAGAGCCAUACGUACAACACAUGUAUUGCUCUGGUCUAGGCCACAUGCAAUUCAACAGCUCUACAUUGUUACUAGAAACCAUUUGGUGCUCAUCGUUGCAGUGAAAAUGUAUCGUCGUAACCUGACACAAACACAUAGAGAAACAGGCGCAGGCGCGGGCACACGCACACGCGUUCAGGCGAUUCAGCACCGACUGAAAAAGGACAGCGACGGAAUCUGAAUUUUGAAAUUCAGCACCGCAAGACUACGGGAGUUUGGGAUCAGCUGUCUUGAAAAAAACAAUCUCACAGCUUUCUGGGACAAACUUCAAGAGCCAGAAGAAAAAAAACUUCCAAGGAUUUUCCAUAGCUACUGUACCAAGGCUGUCCUUCAAUUAUUAAGAUGGCUACCCCCAAUGCACUUGUUCUCCCAGCCUUGAUUGCAUUUUAAGUGGCCACCCCCAACAUAAGAGAUCCAUAAGAUGAGGCCCAUGCAGAGACUAAAGGCUGAGUCGGCAUCAACUCCUCUCCCUGAGUCCCAGCAGAAGACGAAGCCGAGCCUUUCAACGCAACUGCAGAGAAUGCCUGUCACAUCUGGGCUAAAUUCUCUUAGGAGGGAGGAGCGAUGCGGCGCUAUUACCAUGUCCCAGGUAAUGUGGAGAGUGUCUGCGCCUCCAUGUCCCAGAAGUAGGGCGAUGCCUAUUUCUGUCUGAGUUUGUGGUGGUUUUAAACUAUUUAGUGGUUUGAAAGGAUGCAAAACCCAGAAAGAUAACAGAAAAAAACUCUUAAGUGUAGUCUAUGAGUCUACAGGACAAAGCAGUUGAAUCCACUGACCAGUAGUGUAUAACGUGGGGCUGUCAAGAGUUCAUCUGUCAACCUCUGACCUUAGAGAGCCUUUUAAUGUCUCUAUUUGGUUUGGUCAAGGUGUGAUUUGGGGUGGGCAUUGUAUGUUUUGUUAUCUAUGAUUUUGUAUUUCUAUGUUUUGGCCGGGUAUGGUUCUCAAUCAGGGACAGCUGUCUAUCGUUGUCUCUGAUUGGGAACCAUACUUAGGUAGCCCUUUUUCUCUCCUUUCUUUGUGGGAAGUUGGCUUUGUUUAGGGCACAGAGCCUUUAGCUUCACGGUUUGUUUGUAGUGUUUAUUGUUUUUGUCGGCGUCAUCUUAAAUAAAGAAUAUGUACCCUCA
Molecule: long non-coding RNA, 1204 nt
Organism: Oncorhynchus keta (chum salmon)
Lineage: Eukaryota; Metazoa; Chordata; Actinopteri; Salmoniformes; Salmonidae
Exons: 2
Source: RefSeq, a predicted model, not a curated record